Ornithorhynchus anatinus (platypus) is the source of this 140-nucleotide non-coding RNA. The record is from Rfam. NCBI's taxonomy places the organism in Eukaryota, Metazoa, Chordata, Mammalia, Monotremata, Ornithorhynchidae.
CACCUCUAUCAGGGUCACACCUGGAGAAUUUCCAGGACUCUACCAGUCUUGACUAUGGGAGGGAGAGUCAAGCAGAGGCCUACCCAUUCCAUUCCUUGCUUGGGCAGUGGCUAGGGAGUGAAAGGCAAUCUGCUACCAGU